UGCAAUUCGUUGCACUAUCGUUAACUGAAUACAUAGGUUAACGAGGCGAACCGGGGGAACUGAAACAUCUAAGUACCCCGAGGAAAAGAAAUCAACCGAGAUUCCCCCAGUAGCGGCGAGCGAACGGGGAGCAGCCCAGAGUCUGAAUCAGCUUGUGUGUUAGUGGAACGGUCUGGAAAGUCCGACGGUACAGGGUGAUAGUCCCGUACACCAAAAUGCACAGGUUGUGAACUCGAAGAGUAGGGCGGGACACGUGGUAUCCUGUCUGAAUAUGGGGGGACCAUCCUCCAAGGCUAAAUACUCCUGACUGACCGAUAGUGAACCAGUACCGUGAGGGAAAGGCGAAAAGAACCCCGGCGAGGGGAGUGAAAAAGAACCUGAAACCGUGUACGUACAAGCAGUGGGAGCACCUUCGGGUGUGACUGCGUACCUUUUGUAUAAUGGGUCAGCGACUUAUAUUCUGUAGCAAGGUUAACCGUAUAGGGGAGCCGCAGGGAAACCGAGUCUUAACUGGGCGUUAAGUUGCAGGGUAUAGACCCGAAACCCGGUGAUCUAGCCAUGGGCAGGUUGAAGGUUGGGUAACACUAACUGGAGGACCGAACCGACUAAUGUUGAAAAAUUAGCGGAUGACUUGUGGCUGGGGGUGAAAGGCCAAUCAAACCGGGAGAUAGCUGGUUCUCCCCGAAAGCUAUUUAGGUAGCGCCUCGUGAAUUCAUCUUCGGGGGUAGAGCACUGUUUCGGCUAGGGGGUCAUCCCGACUUACCAACCCGAUGCAAACUACGAAUACCGAAGAAUGUUAUCACGGGAGACACACGGCGGGUGCUAACGUCCGUCGUGAAGAGGGAAACAACCCAGACCGCCAGCUAAGGUCCCAAAGUCAUGGUUAAGUGGGAAACGAUGUGGGAAGGCACAGACAGCCAGGAUGUUGGCUUAGAAGCAGCCAUCAUUUAAAGAAAGCGUAAUAGCUCACUGGUCGAGUCGGCCUGCGCGGAAGAUGUAACGGGGCUAAACCAUGCACCGAAGCUGCGGCAGCGACACUAUGUGUUGUUGGGUAGGGGAGCGUUCUGUAAGCCUGCGAAGGUGACCUGUGAGGGUUGCUGGAGGUAUCAGAAGUGCGAAUGCUGACAUAAGUAACGAUAAAGCGGGUGAAAAGCCCGCUCGCCGGAAGACCAAGGGUUCCUGUCCAACGUUAAUCGGGGCAGGGUGAGUCGACCCCUAAGGCGAGGCCGAAAGGCGUAGUCGAUGGGAAACAGGUUAAUAUUCCUGUACUUGGUGUUACUGCGAAGGGGGGACGGAGAAGGCUAUGUUAGCCGGGCGACGGUUGUCCCG
RNAcentral lists this ribosomal RNA (1329 nucleotides) under Klebsiella pneumoniae. Its description in RNAcentral is "partial 23S ribosomal RNA". It matches the Rfam family "Bacterial large subunit ribosomal RNA", at positions 132 to 1509 of the family's 2925-position model. Lineage: Bacteria; Pseudomonadati; Pseudomonadota; Gammaproteobacteria; Enterobacterales; Enterobacteriaceae. The record is from RNAcentral.